UGGGGAAUAUUGGACAAUGGAGGAAACUCUGAUCCAGCAAUUCUGUGUGUGUGAAGAAGGUUUUAGGACUGUAAAACACUUUUAGUAGGGAAGAAAAAAAUGACGGUACCUACAGAAGAAGCAACGGCUAAAUACGUGCCAGCAGCCGCGGUAAUACGUAUGUUGCGAGCGUUAUCCGGAAUUAUUGGGCUUAAAGGGCAUCUAGGCGGUAAGACAAGUUGAAGGUGAAAACCUGUGGCUCAACCAUAGGCUUGCCUACAAAACUGUUGAACUAGAGUACUGGAAAGGUGGGUGGAACUACACGAGUAGAGGUGAAAUUCGUAGAUAUGUGUAGGAAUGCCGAUGAUGAAGAUGACUCCCUGGACAGAAACUGACGCUGAAGUGCGAAAGCUAGGGGGGCAAACAGG
This 407-nucleotide ribosomal RNA is filed under the name Verrucomicrobiota bacterium. Its description in RNAcentral is "Verrucomicrobia bacterium partial 16S ribosomal RNA". It matches the Rfam family "Bacterial small subunit ribosomal RNA", at positions 355 to 776 of the family's 1533-position model. The record is from RNAcentral. Lineage: Bacteria; Pseudomonadati; Verrucomicrobiota.